AACGCGAAGAACCUUACCAAGGCUUGACAUCCCAUUAAACCCAUAGAAAUAUGGAGUGCUGCUUUGCAGCGAAUGGAGACAGGUGGUGCAUGGUUGUCGUCAGCUCGUGUCGUGAGAUGUUGGGUUAAGUCCCGCAACGAGCGCAACCCUUAUCCUUAGUUACCAGCACGCAAUGAUGGGGACUCUAGGGAGACUGCCGGGGAUAACUCGGAGGAAGGUGGGGACGACGUCAAAUCAUCAUGCCCCUUAUGUCCUGGGCUACACACGUGCUACAAUGGUCGUAACAAAGAGAAGCGAAGUUGUAAAGCCAAGCAAAACUCAAAAAAGCGAUCUCAGUUCGGAUUGUGGGCUGCAACCCGCCCACAUGAAGUCGGAGUUGCUAGUAAUCGCGAAUCAGAAUGUCGCGGUGAAUGCGUUCCCGGGUCUUGUACACACCG
This 437-nucleotide ribosomal RNA is filed under the name uncultured bacterium. RNAcentral's name for it is "bacterial SSU rRNA". It matches the Rfam family "Bacterial small subunit ribosomal RNA", at positions 958 to 1392 of the family's 1533-position model. The record is from RNAcentral.